UCAGAUGUGGUGUACUGGGAACACAGCCUCCUAUUUUAACGAGAUUAGUAACAAAUUGAGAGGUGGUCCAGGGUUCGAAUCCCUGUGUCUGAA
Mycena vulgaris is the source of this 93-nucleotide non-coding RNA. NCBI's taxonomy places the organism in Eukaryota, Fungi, Basidiomycota, Agaricomycetes, Agaricales, Mycenaceae. The record is from the annotation of a GenBank genome assembly.